CUCAGUGACGAGUAGACGCGCGCGCUUCAACCAACCACACGACCGAACUUAUAGUGUAACGUUUUAAUUAAGUGCUUAGUUCAAAGUUGUGGUAUACGUGUGAAUUUAUUUUGGAUCGCACAGAGAUAUUUUCGAGUAGUAUUAGAGUUUCAUCACUACAUAGUUCUAACAAUAUUUUUCUUUGUUGUCUACUGAUGUAACUUCUUAGAGAUUGCUCGUUUUAUCAAGUGUACAGCAGUAUGGAGCAUUUUUCCUAUCCACUGACAGAAUCUACGCACCAUUUACCAAUCCAGACUGACACUUAUCUGUAUAGUUGAAAAGUUCCGAAGAUGGUGAAAUAAUAGUGUAGUGUAGAAUAAGUGAUAAUGAGCUUAUAAGUUAAGUGAAUGUUGAAUGACAGGGAGAUGCCUUACUACGGAUAUCGUGAAGGUUCGGACUCCAGUGGGGGUUGUUCGGAGUCUGAGGGGGACUCAGAUUCUGAUGGGGGCUUGAGCACGGAGAGUACUGUAGGCCAAGGUCUGCCAUUCCCCGGCUUUACUCCUGUGGCCCUGAGGUACUUAACACAGGACACGAGGCCCAGAAGUUGGUGUUUGAAGCUCAUCACCA
Long non-coding RNA from Danaus plexippus (monarch butterfly), 606 nucleotides. RefSeq lists it as uncharacterized. The transcript is spliced from 3 exons. The record is from RefSeq and is a predicted model, not a curated record. NCBI's taxonomy places the organism in Eukaryota, Metazoa, Arthropoda, Insecta, Lepidoptera, Nymphalidae.